RNAcentral lists this ribosomal RNA (804 nucleotides) under Fusarium equiseti. RNAcentral describes it as "partial large subunit ribosomal RNA". It matches the Rfam family "Eukaryotic large subunit ribosomal RNA", at positions 71 to 905 of the family's 3401-position model. The record is from RNAcentral. Lineage: Eukaryota; Fungi; Ascomycota; Sordariomycetes; Hypocreales; Nectriaceae.
GGGAUUGCCCUAGUAACGGCGAGUGAAGCGGCAACAGCUCAAAUUUGAAAUCUGGCUCUCGGGCCCGAGUUGUAAUUUGUAGAGGAUGCUUUUGAUGCGGUGCCUUCCGAGUUCCCUGGAACGGGACGCCAUAGAGGGUGAGAGCCCCGUCUGGUUGGAUACCAAAUCUCUGUAAAGCUCCUUCGACGAGUCGAGUAGUUUGGGAAUGCUGCUCUAAAUGGGAGGUAUAUGUCUUCUAAAGCUAAAUACUGGCCAGAGACCGAUAGCGCACAAGUAGAGUGAUCGAAAGAUGAAAAGCACUUUGAAAAGAGAGUUAAAAAGUACGUGAAAUUGUUGAAAGGGAAGCGUUUAUGACCAGACUUGGGCUUGGAUAAUCAUCUGGGGUUCUCCCCAGUGCACUUUUCCAGUCCAGGCCAGCAUCAGUUUUCGCCGGGGGAUAAAGGCUUCGGGAAUGUGGCUCCCUCCGGGGAGUGUUAUAGCCCGUUGCGUAAUACCCUGGCGGGGACUGAGGUUCGCGCAUCUGCAAGGAUGCUGGCGUAAUGGUCAUCAACGACCCGUCUUGAAACACGGACCAAGGAGUCGUCUUCGUAUGCGAGUGUUCGGGUGUCAAACCCCUACGCGUAAUGAAAGUGAACGCAGGUGAGAGCUUCGGCGCAUCAUCGACCGAUCCUGAUGUUCUCGGAUGGAUUUGAGUAAGAGCAUACGGGGCCGGACCCGAAAGAAGGUGAACUAUGCCUGUGUAGGGUGAAGCCAGAGGAAACUCUGGUGGAGGCUCGCAGCGGUUCUGACGUGCAAAUCGAUCGU